Molecule: ribosomal RNA, 506 nt
Filed under: Salmonella enterica subsp. enterica serovar Stanley
Lineage: Bacteria; Pseudomonadati; Pseudomonadota; Gammaproteobacteria; Enterobacterales; Enterobacteriaceae
Description: bacterial SSU rRNA
Rfam family: Bacterial small subunit ribosomal RNA
Source: RNAcentral
GACAGGUGGUGCAUGGUUGUCGUCAGCUCGUGUCGUGAGAUGUUGGGUUAAGUCCCGCAACGAGCGCAACCCUUAAGCUUAGUUGCCAUCAUUAAGUUGGGCACUCUAAGUUGACUGCCGGUGACAAACCGGAGGAAGGUGGGGAUGACGUCAAAUCAUCAUGCCCCUUAUGAUUUGGGCUACACACGUGCUACAAUGGACAAUACAAAGGGUAGCGAAACCGCGAGGUCAAGCAAAUCCCAUAAAGUUGUUCUCAGUUCGGAUUGUAGUCUGCAACUCGACUACAUGAAGCUGGAAUCGCUAGUAAUCGUAGAUCAGCAUGCUACGGUGAAUACGUUCCCGGGUCUUGUACACACCGCCCGUCACACCACGAGAGUUUGUAACACCCGAAGCCGGUGGAGUAACCUUUUGGAGCUAGCCGUCGAAGGUGGGACAAAUGAUUGGGGUGAAGUCGUAACAAGGUAGCCGUAUCGGAAGGUGCGGCUGGAUCACCUCCUUUCUAAGGA